This 497-nucleotide ribosomal RNA is filed under the name uncultured bacterium. RNAcentral describes it as "partial 16S ribosomal RNA". It matches the Rfam family "Bacterial small subunit ribosomal RNA", at positions 28 to 507 of the family's 1533-position model. The record is from RNAcentral.
GAUGAACGCUGGCGGCGUGCCUAAUACAUGCAAGUCGAGCGAACGGACGAGAAGCUUGCUUCUCUGAUGUUAGCGGCGGACGGGUGAGUAACACGUGGAUAACCUACCUAUAAGGCUGGGAUAACUUCGGGAAACCGGAGCUAAUACCGGAUAAUAUUUUGAACCGCAUGGUUCAAAAGUGAAAGACGGUCUUGCUGUCACUUAUAGAUGGAUCCGCGCUGCAUUAGCUAGUUGGUAAGGUAACGGCUUACCAAGGCAACGAUGCAUAGCCGACCUGAGAGGGUGAUCGGACACACUGGAACUGAGACACGGUCCAGACUCCUACGGGAGGCAGCAGUAGGGAAUCUUCCGCAAUGGGCGAAAGCCUGACGGAGCAACGCCGCGUGAGUGAUGAAGGUCUUCGGAUCGUAAAACUCUGUUAUUAGGGAAGAACAUAUGUGUAAGUAACUGUGCACAUCUUGACGGUACCUAAUCAGAAAGCCACGGCUAACUACGUG